AUGCCAUGGUGAGGGCAAUUGGCGCAAAACAUCUUAAAUCUAUCCCAAAUUUGGUAGAAACUUUCAUCCUUUUGUUGAUGAAAAGUGGCAAUCCUUUGUCUUCCUUU
RNAcentral lists this small nucleolar RNA (107 nucleotides) under Corchorus capsularis. RNAcentral's name for it is "Plant small nucleolar RNA R71". It matches the Rfam family "Plant small nucleolar RNA R71". Rfam says of the family: R71 is a member of the C/D box family of snoRNAs containing the C (UGAUGA) and D (CUGA) box motifs. Lineage: Eukaryota; Viridiplantae; Streptophyta; Magnoliopsida; Malvales; Malvaceae. The record is from Rfam by way of RNAcentral.